UGAGUUGGUGACUUGUUCAUCGAGAACACAUCUGAUAUCCCAGAAUUAAUUGAUAGAUGUCAGGAGAGCAGGAAAAACUCCACAACUGUAAUAAGUUGGAACUUUUCUUAUUUCAGUACAGCGUCGAGAAUGCAUUCCAGCAAUUUCUAUUCAACUCGCAAAGCCAUGGAAAUGGCUACUGAAGACGCGACAACAGUUCAAGGCAGUCCAAGUAAUUUUGUAACUACAAAACAAGCUUGCUUGACGGAAACCCCGGGUCCUGGUCUUCUUGAGCAAGACGAAAUAUAUUAAUAUCUGUAUGUUGAAUGUUUAACUACAGUACCUACUAUUUUAUAUUAUGACUAUGUUAAAACAGAGAGCAGUGAUGUCUUGUGGUUCUGUAGUAGUCAUUCACUCACCAUUUAAUUAUUGCAUACAUAAAUGCUAGAAACUCAAAGUAGUAUUUUGAUUGUAGGCAGACAACUAAUCACAAAUUCUCAAACGAGAAUGUUUUACACUCAUUUUUCUCAUGUUCCUGUUAUGUGUUUCUCUGACAGUUAAACACUGCAAUUCCCUUAACAUGCAACUGGUGUUAUAACUGUUCUUCAAACAUGUAGUACAUUCGGGAAGUAUUUAGACACAUUCACCGUACCCACAUUUUGUUACAUUAUAGACUUUUUCUGAAAUUGAUUAAACAUAUUAUUUUCCUGAUCAGCGUUUGCACAAUAACCAAUAAUGACCAAGCAAA
Molecule: long non-coding RNA, 727 nt
Organism: Esox lucius (northern pike)
Lineage: Eukaryota; Metazoa; Chordata; Actinopteri; Esociformes; Esocidae
Exons: 3
Source: RefSeq, a predicted model, not a curated record